UGCGUAGGCGGACUAAUAAGUCAGUGGUGAAAUCUCUCGGCUCAACCGGGAAACUGCCAUUGAUACUGUUAGUCUUGAGUUCGGUUGAGGUAGGCGGAAUGUGUAAUGUAGCGGUGAAAUGCUUAGAUAUUACACAGAACACCAAUUGCGUAGGCAGCUUACUAGACCGACACUGACGCCGAGGCACGAAAGCGUGGGUAGCGAACAGGAUUAGAUACCCUGGUAGUCC
Molecule: ribosomal RNA, 229 nt
Filed under: uncultured bacterium
Lineage: Bacteria
Description: partial 16S ribosomal RNA
Rfam family: Bacterial small subunit ribosomal RNA
Source: RNAcentral